Hibiscus syriacus is the source of this 2572-nucleotide long non-coding RNA. RefSeq lists it as uncharacterized. The record is from RefSeq and is a predicted model, not a curated record. Lineage: Eukaryota; Viridiplantae; Streptophyta; Magnoliopsida; Malvales; Malvaceae. The transcript has 11 exons.
CUUUGGUUUUCUGUGAUUUUCAGCUAAGGAAGCGAAAAUGAGGAACCGUUUUCCCAAACGGCUCAUCCAAACUUCAUCUUCUUCUUCGUAUCGUUUCCUACACUCUUCUCGAAGCAACAAGGUUUCAGCUCGUGCGAUUGAGGAGGAAGGUGAAAGUGAAACAGUUGCAUCUCUGAGGAUAUUAAAUCAAGAAGAAAAAAAGGAAAGAAGUUGGCUGAUGCAGGCUCCAUGAAUCAGUGGUUGUGAGUCUUAUCUUCUUCAGAGGCAGUGUUCAAGAACCAUGUGCAAUCAUCAGCAAAAAAUAAAAAGAAAACCUCGGGUUUUCUUACGGAACUAAUUGGGGUCUGGCUGGAAAAGGUGUCAUUGUGAAGGAUAAAGCUUUCCAAAACUUGAAGUCAUCUGAAUUGCAACAAAAUGGUGCAACCAUUGCAGAAUCCUUGUCAGGGCUUCCAGUUCAUGUUAGAGGAACUCUUGGGGGAACUUCAACAAUUUCAAAGGCACAAUAUAGUAAACUUUUGAAGCAGGAUCUGAUGCUAAAGUUCGUAUGAUUAGUGACAGUCCAUCUGCUGUAUUGACACUUUCAAAUGUUCUUUGGGAGACCCCUAUUCGUGCUGUCGCCCAUGAUUCAUGUCCUUUAACAGUCUAUGCUGCUACAUCAAUAAGUACAGCUGUCGGGGAUGUCAUUGAGCUUGGAACUUAUGGAAAUAAUGGAUUUAUUGCUGCUGAUGUUGAGUGAUCUUCGCUUAUUUUGUGUGGUAAAGCAUUUGCUGAUAUAAAUGGAACUAAAUUAGCAUUAGCUGCUUUAUCUGAGCCGGUUAUAUCUGCACGUGCAGGCCUUCCGCUAUCUGCUAGGUUGGAAAUUUCAGGCUCAUAGUAUCUGGUGAUUCUGUGGUUCUUUUGAUUGCUUCAGAGAAUGUCAUUCAGAGUUGUGCAGAUCUGUUGGUAUCUGCAAAUACCAGUGUCGUCUUUUCUUCUUGAGGCGUUGCACCCUUGUUUUGAACCAAAAAAUACAAUGGCAUAAAUAUAUACAAGAUACCAUCUUCCAUCAUCCUUGCAACAUUUGAUAGGUAAGCGACAUGUUCAGUUUGUUUCAACAAUCAUAUGCAAUAUUGCAGUGCAACCUGAUGUCCCCCCUGGUAUCCGUGUCUUCUUUCCUUUGCAUCAUUCAUGAAAUGUGCUAUGCUAGCAAGAGUGAUCUUUCAAAGUCGAACAUUAAAUAAUUGUUCAAGAGUUUGUUGAAUUUAGUGGCUGGUUAUCUCGCAUAUCCACUUGUCUUGGAACAUGUGAAACCACAGAGUGCUAGUUCUUUAUCCAAGUAAGAAGUUAACAUUUUUAAUUUAAAGGAAAAUCCAUAUUACUGUGUGCACUUUUGAUUCUUGCAGAUAUCUUCCAUAAACAUUCUCAUGUUGCUUAUCCUUCCUCUGAGAUAUAAAUUAAGUACUGCACCCCAAACACCAAAUAAAACCAUAAAGAAAUUGAUAAAUGCAAAAAAUCCCUCAUGUUUCUCUUCUUUAGACAUCACUCAAAACUAGCAACUGAAAGUGCCUAGAAUGUAUUGACUUCAGCGGCUUUCCUCCAACAUUGCUUAUACUUGUACUUCUUUCUCCUGAUAGUUCCAUGGAAAUUUUUUAUAUUGUAUGGUCGAAAGGUUGUAUUUUCAACUUUCUUAGUGGUUCACUGAAUGGGCUUCGAAGGGCAGACUAAUUAUUGAAAGUGAUUCAAAGAUAGCAGUGGAUUGGAUAAAAGAUCAAGCUAUAGCCCCUGCUUUUCUGUCAAAUUUUGUCAAGGAAAUUGCUUCUACUGUUUCUACUGAACAGGUUAUUGUUAGGUGGAUUCCUAGAUGGUGUAACUCUGAGGCUGAUAAGCUAGCAAAGGAAGGAAUUGGGUGAUUAAUAACGUUGUUUUGGUUGGUUUGUAAGUCUUACAGGAAAGGUCCUAUAGGAGUGUUUUAUGUUUUAUGUAGUUUGCAAGACUGUUUUUAAGUCUUAUGUAACUGGCUUAUUAUCAAUAAAUUAAUGCACUCUUGUCCUCCUUCCGCUAGUUGGUUCUAGCCUUAGGGCAGAGAACUACUAUGAGGGAGGUUUUUAAUGAGGCAUUCUAUUCCUAUCAAAAAAAAAAAUCCUGAAUAAUCCGAGAAACCAUACUCAAAUUGAUAUAUUUAGCAUGUUUUUCCUGCAUAUAUUGACCUUGUUACAAGAGUGGAUUUUUCCCUCUGCACUUCUGGUGGUAUCCCCUCUGUAUCAGAACUCUCUCCGGGUCAAGCUGCUUAUCACUUUUUGGCUGGCUAUCAAAAUGGGGAGUUCGUGCCUGCUUAUGCUAAAGGCCCUACCUCUAUUGGUGCAUUAGAUAUUGCAAAGGCCCUUCUCUAAGUUGAAAGAGCACCUGAUACCGACCUUCCUUGCCAAUGUUGGUCAUGGAGGAAAGAAUGUUACAGGUGGAGACCUUAAAAGGAAAUAUGAAGGCUUUUGUCAGGAUUUGGGAGCAAGGAUAAGUAAGGAGAAUUGUCGUGACAUGCUAGGAAUGCUGAGCAGAAUGUAAAUGCCAACUCGGACGACAUUUCGAAAGCGAAAAA